Molecule: long non-coding RNA, 790 nt
Organism: Raphanus sativus (radish)
Lineage: Eukaryota; Viridiplantae; Streptophyta; Magnoliopsida; Brassicales; Brassicaceae
Exons: 2
Source: RefSeq, a predicted model, not a curated record
UUUUUUCCCUCGUGGCAACAAAACAGAACAAAGAAGUUGACUUUUUGACGACAUAUUUUGACUAUACCGACGAAAAACCUUUAAGAUGAUCAGGCAGGAUCUCAUCGCUUCGUUCAUUUUAUUAUAUGUAAGCAUCAACGUCUUCUAACCAAAUGUACUGUUUUAGUGGAUCUUGUCUUUCAUCUUUAUACACCGGCGACCCAUUCCUUUCUUUCCCCUCUCUCUCCAAAAUUAUACCAAACUCGCUCCUAGUCCUAGGGCGACGCACUCUUUCCUCGUUUACUCUCUCAGUCACGUUCUUUUUGUCGACGCUGCGGUAGCUUUCGACUCAAAAAAAUUACAUUUUACAGUGAACGAAUUCUUGCUCUCCCUAUUGCUAGGAUCAGACGAAGAACUGCGACUGGAAUUUGAAGGAGUUUUGUGACGCUGUGAAAUUCAGACAAAAAGAACAUGGGUAUUGUUGGCUUAAAGGUUAUAUAUAAUAACAGAAGAAUAUCUAGAUUCGAUCACUCUUCAAGCUACAAUGGACAACAAAUAUUCUAGCAAACGGAGGGGCUUAUAACUGCCAAGCCUGACGCCGCUAAAUACAUCCUUCUAUUGUCAGAUCCUAAGGUAAGUAAAGUACAUUCUUAUGUUGUAGAAACUAUAAACUCUCGUCUCCCUCACGUAAACCGAAGUAAAAAUAAUGUAAGUGUGCUAUACAGAUAACAGAAUCUGUCUGAAACAGACAAAUGUGUAUGAUAUUGAUGACUUUAUUAGUACAGUAACAUCAUUGAACUGGCAUUAUGUA